Podarcis muralis (Common wall lizard) is the source of this 1086-nucleotide non-coding RNA. NCBI's taxonomy places the organism in Eukaryota, Metazoa, Chordata, Lepidosauria, Squamata, Lacertidae. The record is from RefSeq and is a predicted model, not a curated record.
CUUGCAUGUUGUGCUCACUUAAAACUUAGUAUUCAGGCACCCACAUUUCCCCUUCUUUCGGCAAAAGUUCUUGUGGGGACACUAACCUGUAAGCACCCUUGAGACUGGCAAGUGGAUGGGGAACGAUUUACCCCAAUUGGAACUAGAGACACUUCCCUCCCAAAAGAAGCUUCAGAGAACAGAGAGCUACUAGAGCCUUCGGUGUUUAAUGGCAACAUGAAAACAAAAACUACAUGCAGAAUGCCAAAUGAAAUCUCACUUCGGGCACAGUUUAAUAACAUGUCAUCUGAGGCCUUAUGAUGAAGGGCAAGAAAGAAAUCAAAGCAACGACUGUCAUCCUGGUAUCACCUACCAACAAGGACAAAGCUGAAGGAGAACUCAGGAAGUUUGAGUCCAUUUAUUUAGACCGUAAUCAAACCAUAAUGGUUACCUCCCCAGUUAUAUCUGCUUAGCAAAGGUUAGAAAAAACCAUGUUAUCAGUGUUGUGAAUUGUCAAUGUGAUUAUCUUAAAUAUGCAGAGCUGACCCGCCCAUGACGCGGGGUGAAGAGCCCACCUCAGGUGGCAGAAGUACCUGCUUGUGCCGCCAAUAGGGAGGUGUUCUGGCAUGUGACGUUGCCAAACAAGUGGCAAAACUUUGAGGAGUGCCCUGGCUUCCACCAAGUUUGGUGAGAGGUGGGAGUGGUGAUGGCGGAAGUGGAGGAGGGGGAGAGGAGGCAAUUCCUGUUUUGCCUCAGGUAGCAAAAUGGGACAGGUCUCCACUGUAAAUACGUUUAAGCUUAACACACAACAGUCACUGUACAUCUUGGUCAUUUGGCCGAAAUGUUUACUAUUUUUCACUUUAUCCAUGCACAUUUGUAUCUGCCAACUGAGAAUAGUACCAAUGCAUGCAUCUGUUGAAGGAGACUCUAGUCGAUAAAAGCUAGGGCUAAAGCUUGUAGCCUUUAGAUGCCACAAUACUGUUGUUUCUUUCUGCAACAGAUUAACAUGGGUACUUGCAUGGAAAACACUAUUACUUUAAUAAGAAUUUGGUCCUUCCUAAUAUAAACCUUAUUAUUUAUAAUAAAUCAACAAAUCAUUAAUACUUA